UACACUCCUGCGGGAGGCAGCAGUGGGGAAUUUUGGACAAUGGGCGAAAGCCUGAUCCAGCAAUGCCGCGUGAGUGAAGAAGGCCUUCGGGUUGUAAAGCUCUUUUGUCAGGGAAGAAACGGUGAGAGCUAAUAUCUUUUGCUAAUGACGGUACCUGAAGAAUAAGCACCGGCUAACUACGUGCCAGCAGCCGCGGUAAUACGUAGGGUGCAAGCGUUAAUCGGAAUUACUGGGCGUAAAGCGUGCGCAGGCGGUUUUGUAAGUCUGAUGUGAAAUCCCCGGGCUCAACCUGGGAAUUGCAUUGGAGACUGCAAGGCUAGAAUCUGGCAGAGGGGGGUAGAAUUCCACGUGUAGCAGUGAAAUGCGUAGAUAUGUGGAGGAACACCGAUGGCGAAGGCAGCCCCCUGGGUCAAGAUUGACGCUCAUGCACGAAAGCGUGGGGAGCAAACAGGAUUAGAAACCCGAGUAGUCCCAUGA
RNAcentral lists this ribosomal RNA (477 nucleotides) under uncultured organism. RNAcentral describes it as "partial 16S ribosomal RNA". It matches the Rfam family "Bacterial small subunit ribosomal RNA", at positions 332 to 800 of the family's 1533-position model. The record is from RNAcentral.